RNAcentral lists this long non-coding RNA (1333 nucleotides) under Sus scrofa (pig). RNAcentral's name for it is "lncRNA (ENSSSCG00025063598.1)". The record is from RNAcentral. Lineage: Eukaryota; Metazoa; Chordata; Mammalia; Artiodactyla; Suidae.
AAAUAGAGCCGCUGGGGAGGAGGAGGAGGAGGAGCAUGAGACAGAGCGCUUUGAAAGGUAAGCUUCCAUGUUCAGCCCUGUGCGCCCUGAGAGUCUGCUUCCAUCUCUCCCGGCCCUGAGGGACCAGCUCCUUGGUCUAUAAGGAUGCCAGCAGCAGGGAACAGAAUCCUCAGCAAAGGAAAGCAGGAACCAGAUCCUUUUGCAGAAUGAAGCUGUGAGGAGCCUGGGAAAGGGCCUGACCCAGCAGGGGCGUGUGGGCUGUCUUGGACCAGGAGUGCCUGGAUUGGGAGGUGGAUCCUCCAGAUUGGACUGAGAACAAGUGGUUUCACAUGGCUGGGAUUCCUCUGUGAGGUCUCCCUGCUCCCUCCCCCCCACCUCCGCACAUCCAGGGAGCUUGUGAGGGCGGCCAGGGGUAAUAGAUAUGGAAGCACUUUGCCAAUGAGAAAACUGUCUGGGAGCUUCUCCAUCACUGUCAGGAUUUGUGUGGCCUUGGACACUGGUGCUUGGGUUCCAGUCUCCCAAAAGUGUCCCUAAAGGGACCAGCCUCCUGUAAAACCCUCAUGCCCUUGCCUUCACCACCAUGACCCAUGUCCUGAUUUCCAGCCUGCAGAGAUGGCCUGCGACAGCUGGGACAGGUUUGGGGCCUGAUGGCACAUCUGCAAAGGUAAAGAAUCUUUCCUUUCUCUCCUGGGUUCUCCUUCCUUCCAGGGCUCAGGGUGUGACCCUAGGGCUGCAGGCAGCCUGGGGCUGACCUGGGAGGGGGAGCCAUGGCAGCAGGGUUCAGCUCAAGCCCCAAGGGGAGGGACAACAGGUGCACUGUGAAGUCAGCGUGGGGGCUGUGGGGGCCCUGCCUUGGCUCUGUCGGCUCCUGCCUAGAGCUUGUGCCUCUUGUCUCCUGCAACCACCUGUGCAGAGUCCCUGAGAGGGGCCACUUUCACUGCUAUUCACGUCCAGACCCCCUUGGCGAGGUGUGCCAGGCAGUGCCCGCUGGAGCCCAGCAGCCAUGCAGGGAGCCUGCACUAGAGGCUGUUCCUACCAUGCCCCCAUCAGCUUCCCCGGCUCCUCUGACCCAGAGCCCUCCCCCUCUGGCCUCCAUCCUGGCAGCAGACCCUCAAGACCAAUGCAACAUCAAGAGCAUCCCACAGGGUCCUGCCGCAAAGUGCUCACCUCCAGGUAACUCCUUUUGGGCAUCUACCAUCCCAGCCAUCUGGGUCUUGGCCUCGCCAGCUGUCCCAUGUCAUUCCUGUCAUGCUGGUGGGAGACCACCAAGGCCUUAUUCUUCCCCACCUCAUCCAAGCAGGAGGCCCAGCAAGAGCCCACCUCACCAGAGGCC